UGGGGAAUUUUGGACAAUGGGGGAAACCCUGAUCCAGCCAUCCCGCGUGUGCGAUGAAGGCCUUCGGGUUGUAAAGCACUUUUGGCAGGAAAGAAACGUCAUGGGUUAAUACCCCGUGAAACUGACGGUACCUGCAGAAUAAGCACCGGCUAACUACGUGCCAGCAGCCGCGGUAAUACGUAGGGUGCAAGCGUUAAUCGGAAUUACUGGGCGUAAAGCGUGCGCAGGCGGUUCGGAAAGAAAGAUGUGAAAUCCCAGAGCUCAACUUUGGAACUGCGUUUUUAACUACCGGGCUAGAGUGUGUCAGAGGGAGGUGGAAUUCCGCGUGUAGGAGUGAAAUGCGUAGAUAUGCGGAGGAACACCGAUGGCGAAGGCAGCCUACUGGGAUAACACUGACGCUCAUGCACGAAAGAGUGGGGAGCAAACAGG
Molecule: ribosomal RNA, 429 nt
Filed under: Acidobacteriota bacterium
Lineage: Bacteria; Pseudomonadati; Acidobacteriota
Description: Acidobacteria bacterium partial 16S ribosomal RNA
Rfam family: Bacterial small subunit ribosomal RNA
Source: RNAcentral